RNAcentral lists this ribosomal RNA (264 nucleotides) under uncultured bacterium. RNAcentral describes it as "partial 16S ribosomal RNA". It matches the Rfam family "Bacterial small subunit ribosomal RNA", at positions 96 to 354 of the family's 1533-position model. The record is from RNAcentral.
UGGCGAACGGGUGAGUAACACGUGGGCAACCUGCCCAAAAGAGGGGGAUAACACUUGGAAACAGGUGCUAAUACCGCAUAACCAUAGUUACCGCAUGGUAACUAUGUAAAAGGUGGCUAUACUACCGCUUUUGGAUGGGCCCGCGGCGCAUUAGCUAGUUGGUAGGGUAAAGGCUUACCAAGGCAAUGAUGCGUAGCCGAAUUGAGAGGUUGAUCGGCCACAUUGGGACUGAGACACGGCCCAAACUCCUACGGAAGGCAGCAG